GCCAUCUGGCCUAAUACUGACACUGAGGUGCGAAAGCAUGGGGAGCAAACAGGAUAAAUACCCUGGUAGUCCAUGCCGUAAACGAUGUCUACUACCCGUUGGGGCCUUUGAGGCUUUAGUGGCGCAGCUAACGCGAUAAGUAGACCGCCUGGGGAGUACGGUCGCAAGACUAAAACUCAAAUGAAUUGACGGGGGCCCGCACAAGCGGUGGAGCAUGUGGUUUAAUUCGAUGCAACGCGAAGAACCUUACCUGGUCUUGACAUAGUAAGAACUUUCCAGAGAUGGAUUGGUGCCUUCGGGAACUUACAUACAGGUGCUGCAUGGCUGUCGUCAGCUCGUGUCGUGAGAUGUUGGGUUAAGUCCCGCAACGAGCGCAACCCUUUUCCUUAUUUGCCAGCGGGUUAAGCCGGGAACUUUAAGGAUACUGCCAGUGACAAACUGGAGGAAGGCGGGGACGACGUCAAGUCAUCAUGGCCCUUACGACCAGGGCUACACACGUGCUACAAUGGUCGGUACAAAGGGUUGCUACCUCGCGAGAGGAUGCUAAUCUCAAAAAGCCGAUCGUAGUCCGGAUUGGAGUCUGCAACUCGACUCCCAUGAAGUCGGAAUCGCUAGUAAUCGCGGAUCAGAAUGCCGCGGUGAAUACGUUCCCGGGCCUUGUACACACCCGCCCGUCACACCAUGGGAGUUUGUUGCACCAGAAGUAGGUUAGUCUAACCUUUAGGGGGGACGCUUACCCACGGUGUGGCAGAUGACUGGGGUGAAGUCGUAACAAGGUAACCAAUCACUAUGGAUUC
This 797-nucleotide ribosomal RNA is filed under the name uncultured Acinetobacter sp. Its description in RNAcentral is "bacterial SSU rRNA". It matches the Rfam family "Bacterial small subunit ribosomal RNA", at positions 724 to 1533 of the family's 1533-position model. Lineage: Bacteria; Pseudomonadati; Pseudomonadota; Gammaproteobacteria; Moraxellales; Moraxellaceae. The record is from RNAcentral.